Molecule: ribosomal RNA, 524 nt
Filed under: uncultured bacterium
Lineage: Bacteria
Description: bacterial SSU rRNA
Rfam family: Bacterial small subunit ribosomal RNA
Source: RNAcentral
CUUCCGCAAUGCGCGAAAGCGUGACGGAGCGAUGCCGCGUGCAGGAUGAAGCCCUUCGGGGUGUAAACUGCUGUCAGGGUUUAGGAAGCACGUGACGGUACCUUCAGAAGAAGCCCCGGCCAACUACGUGCCAGCAGGCCGCGGUAAUACGUAGGGGGCGAACGUUGUCCGGAUUUAUUGGGCGUAAAGAGCCCGUAGGCGGCUCAACAGGUCGGCCGUGAAAACCCGGGGCUCAACCCCGGGACGCCGGUCGAAACUGUUGUGGCUAGGGUUCGGUAGAGGAGAGUGGAAUUCCCGGUGUAGCGGUGAAAUGCGCAGAUAUCGGGAGGAACACCAGUAGCGAAGGCGGCUCUCUGGGCCGAUACCGACGCUGAGGAGCGAAAGCUAGGGGAGCAAACAGGAUUAGAUACCCUGGUAGUCCUAGCUGUAAACGUUGGGCACUAGGUGUGGCGGACUCAUUGACGUCUGCCGUGCCGCAGCUAACGCAUUAAGUGCCCCGCCUGGGGAGUACGGUCGCAAGGCUA